Molecule: long non-coding RNA, 1951 nt
Organism: Magallana angulata
Lineage: Eukaryota; Metazoa; Mollusca; Bivalvia; Ostreida; Ostreidae
Exons: 3
Source: RefSeq, a predicted model, not a curated record
UGCCCAAAUAGUUCAAUUUCAAAAAUAACAUAACCAUCUAGUGUUUUAGCUGCCGCUUCACUGCUUUCAUCUUGUUACCCAACCAAUACCUCGAGAUAUUUUUUUCGACAAGAAAUUAAAAAUCCGGAAAUUGAAACACUUUCCUGAAAUCAGCCGAAGCCGAUAACGCAAUGGCGAGAGAUGUUAUCAUCUCAAACAGGGAAUGCUUUGUUCGAUACAAUCACAGGAAAUAAUAGAUUUCUAAAGUUUUCAGACUGACAUUCACUUGUACUAUAAAUGUGAAACAAAAGAUGCAUGCUUCACAAGAACCAACAACACGAGAGUUUAAUCUGUCUUGACGGAGGCCCCCUUGUUUGCAAGUUUGUCGUCGUCGUGUGUCAAAACUUUUUAUGGACCGAACAACAGAAUUUGGCAAAGAAGUUUUGUCUGUGGAGCGGGAGAUAAGAUCCGGAGUCACCACGAUGUCCCGAUGGUGCAGACGAUCAACACCUCGUGCAGUUUAGAGGGCUCCACUCGACAGCGUACAUUUCUACCUGGUCGACCGAGAGGUCGGGUUUCAGGAAACCUUUAGGCCUACCUAUAUAACUGCACGACAGACAACUAUUGUUAUUGAUGUCAUACGGGGUUUUUUCUGAACUCCAUGGACAUGCAAUGGAAUAAGAUAAGUUUCAUUCAGCUUUAAUGUAUAAAUGUAGAAUAACAUGACAACAUGAUUACUCAUAACACAGUUUGGUCAAUUGCAUCAUUAUUUACCUUGAUGUGAUCAACCUUGUAUUUUUCUUGUGAGCAUAUGAAGAAUGUUUUUUCAAAAAUAAAAUGUGUACACUGUAUUAACUGAAUAUUCAAAUGUUCAAAAAAUUCAUUAACAAAAUGUAACCAAAGCACUGUAAAAACUCUAUCAUGAACGCAGCGUGCUUUGAUAACAAAUAAUCUCGUGAGUGACUCAACACACUUCAUAUAUCCGGAAAAUGUCGUCCAAAAGUUGAACUUCCCAAAAUCUCUCUCACAAGACCCAAGCAAACCAUGAUUCAUAGCAAUCUGAAACUUCAUUCUAUCAAAUUUUACAGAAAAUAUCCCAAUAAGCCCAUUGCUUGCGAAGGUGGACUUUUGGUGUAUGGUCAUCUUGUGUAUUGGAUGCAAUUCGGUUUGAUUAAUGAGUGUAAAGGUUUCUCAUUUGUGAUGCCGAUGUUUUGAGUCAGAACAUUUAUACUGUACUGCAUAGAUGAUUCAUUCAAUGUUUAAUUGACAGGUGAAGGUCAAAGAAUGCUACAGGAAAUGCACGUGCAUAUUUGUCCGUUGUCCAAUCUUGUAAAACAAUUUGCAUAAAUGAAUUAGCAUGUAUUCUUCGAUAACAUGAAUUGUUUUCGUCAGGUAUUUUUAAGUGCAAUUUACGUACACCAUCGCUUUAUUCCGGCCGUAUAGCACGAGCGAUCGACAUGAACGGAACAUGGAAAUGCGUACUUCAUGUGAAUUACAUUUUACGAUAAAAUCUUUAUAAUGCUACAUACUACAAACAACACACGGGGAUACCUAAACAAACAGGAAGAGACUCUAAAAAGAUCAAGGUUAAAAAACAAAUCUUAUAUAUAAACAUACAGGUAGCCAAAAAUGGUAUCCAUUUGCAUAAAGGUAUUAUUUCAUUUUCUAGCAACGUCGAUAAUUAGCAUGCAGACAAGAUUUCUUCUGCACAAUUAUCCACUGUUUAACUGUUAAAUUCAAUUAUUCUAGAGAGACUUGUUGAUUACGUAAUCCUGAUGUCCUGGCGUCUCGCUGACCCGGAGCAUGAUUCAUGCGAACUAAUUAAAAAUGAUGGCGACAGAGGCCGACCUUGGCAAACACCAGCUUUCUGCUUCUAUUCUUACCAUGGAGAUUUUUUUAAAGUAUCCAAAACAGGAAACAUAGGAUAUUUGAAUAUGUCAACACAUCUUCAAGACAAUUAGUUGCGUGUGUU